Molecule: ribosomal RNA, 343 nt
Filed under: uncultured soil bacterium
Lineage: Bacteria
Description: bacterial SSU rRNA
Rfam family: Bacterial small subunit ribosomal RNA
Source: RNAcentral
AGAUUGAACGCUGGCGGCAUGCCUUACACAUGCAAGUCGAACGGCAGCACGGGAGCAAUCCUGGUGGCGAGUGGCGAACGGGUGAGUAAUAUAUCGGAACGUGCCCAGUCGUGGGGGAUAACGCAGCGAAAGCUGUGCUAAUACCGCAUACGAUCUAUGGAUGAAAGCGGGGGAUCGCAAGACCUCGCGCGAUUGGAGCGGCCGAUAUCAGAUUAGCUAGUUGGUGGGGUAAAAGCCUACCAAGGCGACGAUCUGUAGCUGGUCUGAGAGGACGACCAGCCACACUGGAACUGAGACACGGUCCAGACUCCUACGGGAGCAGCAGGUGGGGUAAUUUGGACAA